RNAcentral lists this ribosomal RNA (261 nucleotides) under uncultured prokaryote. RNAcentral's name for it is "partial 16S ribosomal RNA". It matches the Rfam family "Bacterial small subunit ribosomal RNA", at positions 524 to 784 of the family's 1533-position model. The record is from RNAcentral.
UACGUAGGUGGCGAGCGUUAUCCGGAAUUAUUGGGCGUAAAGAGCGCGCAGGUGGUUGAUUAAGUCUGAUGUGAAAGCCCACGGCUUAACCGUGGAGGGCCAUUGGAAACUGGUCAACUUGAGUGCAGGAGAGGAGAGUGGAAUUCCUAGUGUAGCGGUGAAAUGCGUAGAUAUUAGGAGGAACGCCAGUUGCGAAGGCGGCUCUCUGGACUGUAACUGACGCUGAGGCACGAAAGCGUGGGGAGCAAACAGGAUUAGAUA